CAUCAGAUGAGUUUAAAAUGCAUACAUUUUUUAUAGAGAACAUUCACACAC
Non-coding RNA from Caenorhabditis elegans, 51 nucleotides. Lineage: Eukaryota; Metazoa; Nematoda; Chromadorea; Rhabditida; Rhabditidae. The record is from Ensembl.